GACGAACGCUGGCGGCGUGCCUAAUACAUGCAAGUCGAGCGAGCGGAACCAGCAGAUCUGCUUCGGCAGUGACGCUGGGAAAGCGAGCGGCGGAUGGGUGAGUAACACGUGGGGAACCUGCCCCAAAGUCUGGGAUACCACUUGGAAACAGGUGCUAAUACCGGAUAAGAAAGCAGAUCGCAUGAUCAGCUUUUAAAAGGCGGCGUAAGCUGUCGCUAUGGGAUGGCCCCGCGGUGCAUUAGCUAGUUGGUAGAGUAACGGCCUACCAAGGCAAUGAUGCAUAGCCGAGUUGAGAGACUGAUCGGCCACAUUGGGACUGAGACACGGCCCUAACUCCUACGGGAGGCAGCAGUAGGGAAUCUUCCACAAUGGACGCAAGUCUGAUGGAGCAACGCCGCGUGAGUGAAGAAGGUUUUCGGAUCGUAAAGCUCUGUUGUUGGUGAAGAAGAAUAGAGGUAGUAACUGGCCUUUAUUAGACGUAAUCAACCAGAAAGU
Molecule: ribosomal RNA, 495 nt
Filed under: Lactobacillus sp. oral taxon 461
Lineage: Bacteria; Bacillati; Bacillota; Bacilli; Lactobacillales; Lactobacillaceae
Description: bacterial SSU rRNA
Rfam family: Bacterial small subunit ribosomal RNA
Source: RNAcentral